UUUUAUAGCAUCUUAAACAAGGCUGUUUCUAUCAGUUUUAUGCUGCUUAAUACUCUCUCAUCUGUUGUGUUGUUGUUUUGCUGUUUCAUAUGCAUUAAUUUUAAUGGGAAAAACACUCACAAAAUAUUACCAUUGAUACUCUAAGUGGCCAAUAAUUUCAUAUUUAUCCAUAUUUUCCCAAUCCAGAGCUGUUUAUUUCUAUUGAUGUCAACCUUGAAUGAUUUUUAUUAACUCCCAAAUAAAUGCUUUAUUAUUUUCUGUUAUAUGUGGCUGCUGGUGACAAUCUCUUAGAUUUUUUUUCCCUUUGUCCAAAACUACCUUCAUUUUACUUUCAACUUUGAAUGAUAAUUUCACUGUAUAUAACACACUAGAUUCCUUAGCAGUUAUAAAUGUUUCCUGGCUUCUGUCAUGUGUCAAAUACGUAGGCAAGGUGGAGGAACAAACCAAGUUUAUUGGGGAAAGUUUUUUGGGGUAACUCCUAUAAAAAAUAUAAAGGGAGCAAGCAGUCAUAAGGGUGAUCUGAAGCCUGUGAAGAGAAAAGGGGAAGGAAGACCCUCAUACCAUCUUCCAAAUCUGAAAAACCUUUGGGGAGCCCUGAAGCAAAUGUGACCCUCUGAGGAAUCCUACAUUACUUAGAAAUAACCAGGCCAUAGUACUCCUCUUUGCUUAGACCUUAAUUUGGUGCUGAGAAAAGAAUGGCCUUGACCAUUCAAGUUGAAGUACAUUCUGAAAGCACUGAAAGUGGAGGCUGUCAGCUAACCAUGUUCAGCACAAAUGAGUAGCAACUUCUCCUUGAAGGGAGAAAAGAGAGGCACAAUUCUAUGAUCACAGUCUACCUCCUGCACCCCAUUCAUUCAUUCUUUUAUAUACAUUUAAGGUGUACUUCCUCUGGGAUUCCAAUGGAUCUCUCUUUUUGGUUGAGAAAAAAGAAGGCAGCUGGUGGGACAAACAACAGUCACUACUGUAGUUGGUCUUGGAGGUCACAAUUAGAACUCAUUGUUGUCUCUCUUCCAUUCUAAUCUAAAGUCUUCUCACCUUCAGUACAAUUUCUCCUGGUUUCCAUGACUGGUUUCCAUGGAGUGAUAUAUGAGAUGUCCAAGUUUCUUAUAAUACCAUUCUUAGAAAGGAACUGGCACACAUGUUCAUUCAUAUGUACAUGCACAUGUUCAUUCAGACGGGGAAGUUUCAAGAGGCACCCAAGUAAACUUCUAUAAAUAUUCCUUUCUGGCCUCAUUAAAUAAAAGUAGUCCUAAUUUAUCAUUCUGAUAAGGAUCAAUUCUAGCAACAUGGAGACUCUUUUUCUUGGCUGCUAUUCUUUGGACUCAAGAAUUCCAAAGUACCCAGAUAACAGUCAGAGGAUUCAGGUCAAUGGGGACUUUGCUGAGUUCUUGUGGAAGAAUUUGCUCCUUUUGAAUACCAGGAACUAUAGAAGUCAGAAUGGUGGAGAUGAAAAGCAUAUUCUCAAAAUGGAUCACUGAAUCUUAGACAUAGUGCCAUAUAAGACAUUAAUUGAAGGUACAUUCUGCCUUUUAAGGGAUGGUGCCCUAUGCUCACAGAGUAGUGUGUCUGAGCUGACACUUCAGUAGUCCCUUCAGUAGAUUAUUACCAAGGUCUAGGGCUGGCUGAUUGGUUAUUAUACCAUGUGAUGUGACCAGUGGGUCCCAUGGUUUGGACCCACUUACAAAGCCUUCCACAUCUUUAUUCUGCACUGCUAUGUAGGAUUUUAUACUUCUUGCAUUAGGCUACUCCAGAGGAACAGAACCAGUAGAAUUUGUAUAUAUGUGUGAGAGAGAAUUUAUUCUAAGGAACUAACUCAUAUGAUCAUGGGAUCUGGCAUGUCUGAAGCUUGCAGAUCCAACUAGCAGGAAACAGAUUCAUCAAGAGAUAGAAAUAGAGAUAGAGAUGUAGAGAUAGAGACAGACAGAUGAUAGAGACAGAGACAGAGAAAGACAGAGACAGAGAGAGAGAGAUAGAGAUAGAGGAAGAGGGGUACUCCUAUUAAUUGCCCACCUAUUUGUCUCUAGAGAAGCUAUAUUCUAUUAAUCAUCUCCACAACACUUUGAAAAUGAUGUCCCCCUGUUUACUACUCCAACCUGAUCAGUCAUUAUGUUAAUUGAGACACUCCAUCUUCUGUAGUUAAGUGCUGGUUCUUAGCUUUUAUUACUUCCAGGGCCUUAUCUAUUUGGUUUUUUUCAGCUCUGUCACAAACUGAACUCCAUGGAAGCCUUCUCUGUCAGCCACUGUGCCUUGGGGAUCAGAGACACAAGUGAGCUUUUUAUUCAUCCUGCUGCCCCUCUAGCCAGAAGCCAGUGCAUUCCUGAGAACCAUGUUAAAGGGUGUAUCCUCUGGGCCUUCUCGUGGAACAACCUCUCGGGACAAGAUGAGGAGAAGUCCUGAAGGUGAUUGUGCUGGCCAGUCUUGGUUGCCAUUGUGACUGUGUUAAGCAACUCCUGUAGAGAUAAUUGGACCAUAAAGGCACCAACCUCAUCAAGGACCAACCCACAGACAAGUUCAUCACUGAAGAGGCUGUUAGAGGGUGUGCCUCGCUGGAGAGACUGAGGUUGAAGCACAAGUCAUGAGAGCUCUCCCUGUCUGGUCCACUCUUCUCCUUCCAGUCACACCUCACGUCACUUGAUCUAAACCCUCCCUGUCUUCCUGCAUGGACACCUUUGAAGUUGCCCUACUGCUGGAAGCACCAGGACCUUCCUUAGUAUGGAUUCCUAUGGAGAAACUCAUGGCUUCUGCAUUGGUCUUUCCAGAUCCCAGCUUAAUAAAAGCAAUGCCAUUUGUUUUACUAGAUGUUUUUACUACAGAUUUCUUCCUAAUGCAC
RNAcentral lists this long non-coding RNA (2830 nucleotides) under Heterocephalus glaber (naked mole-rat). Its description in RNAcentral is "lncRNA (ENSHGLG00100039739.1)". The record is from RNAcentral. Lineage: Eukaryota; Metazoa; Chordata; Mammalia; Rodentia; Bathyergidae.